UAUUUUUCUUUUUCUUUCUAGAAGAAAGCAAUCAUCAUAUUUUGCCUCUUCCCUUUUGCUCUUAUGCAAGGACCUUCAAGGUCACAUAUCAUCCAGCAUACAGUUGCAAACUACAAAGGAAAGAAGUGCCAAUUUCUGUACUCCCUUGUGAAUGGAGUAAAUAGAGCGAGAAGCUCUUAACCUCCUUUUUAAGCAUUGUUGACAAGACUUGCAGCUUUUUCCUAAUUUCUUAGAAAUGCUAUACUAGCUUCAUUGAAUAUAGUCUUCAUAGUAGUUGUCACUAAUCACAGAGACGAACCUCUCAAGCCAAGGAAGCUGAUGAAGAUCCUUCAUGGCAUCUACAUAUGAGUCUGUACGGUGGGGUGGGGAUUGAUAAGGAUGAUGAUCACUCAAACUGAAACCCCCAGCAAGAA
Molecule: unclassified non-coding RNA, 413 nt
Filed under: Hevea brasiliensis (rubber tree)
Lineage: Eukaryota; Viridiplantae; Streptophyta; Magnoliopsida; Malpighiales; Euphorbiaceae
Source: RNAcentral